ACCAACGCCGCGUGAGCGAUGAAGGCCUUCGGGUCGUAUAGCUCUGUUGUUAGGGAAGAGCAAGUACCAGAGUAACUGCUGGUACCUUGACGGUACCUAACCAGAAAGCCACGGCUAACUACGUGCCAGCAGCCGCGGUAAUACGUAGGUGGCAAGCGUUGUCCGCAAUUAUUGGGCGUAAAGCGCGCGCAGGCGGUCCUUUAAGUCUGAUGUGAAAGCCCACGGCUCAACCGUGGAGGGUCAUUGGAAACUGGGGGACUUGAGUACAGAAGAGGAAAGUGGAAUUCCACGUGUAGCGGUGAAUGCGCUAGAGAUGUGGAGGAACACCAGUGGCGAAGGCGACUUUCUGGUCUGUAACUGACGCUGAGGCGCGAAAGCGUGGGGAGCAAACAGGAUU
This 397-nucleotide ribosomal RNA is filed under the name bacterium. RNAcentral's name for it is "bacterial SSU rRNA". It matches the Rfam family "Bacterial small subunit ribosomal RNA", at positions 390 to 779 of the family's 1533-position model. The record is from RNAcentral.